AUUGAACGCUGGCGGCAGGCCUAACACAUGCAAGUCGAGCGGAAGAAGGGAGCUUGCUCCUGGAUUCAGCGGCGGACGGGGGAGUAAUGCCUAGGAAUCUGCCUGGUAGUGGGGGAUAACGUCCGGAAACGGGCGCUAAUACCGCAUACGUCCUGAGGGAGAAAGUGGGGGAUCUUCGGACCUCACGCUAUCAGAUGAGCCUAGGUCGGAUUCGCUAGUUGGUGGGGUAAAGGCCUACCAAGGCGACGAUCCGUAACUGGUCUGAGAGGAUGAUCAGUCACACUGGAACUGAGACACGGUCCAGACUCCUACGGGAGGCAGCAGUGGGGAAUAUUGGACAAUGGGCGAAAGCCUGAUCCAGCCAUGCCGCGUGUGUGAAGAAGGUCUUCGGAUUGUAAAGCACUUUAAGUUGGGAGGAAGGGCAGUAAGUUAAUACCUUGCUGUUUUGACGUUACCAACAGAAUAAGCACCGGCUAACUUCGUG
RNAcentral lists this ribosomal RNA (484 nucleotides) under uncultured bacterium. RNAcentral describes it as "partial 16S ribosomal RNA". It matches the Rfam family "Bacterial small subunit ribosomal RNA", at positions 30 to 507 of the family's 1533-position model. The record is from RNAcentral.